This 253-nucleotide ribosomal RNA is filed under the name uncultured bacterium. Its description in RNAcentral is "partial 16S ribosomal RNA". It matches the Rfam family "Bacterial small subunit ribosomal RNA", at positions 524 to 776 of the family's 1533-position model. The record is from RNAcentral.
UACAGAGGUCCCGAGCGUUGUUCGGAUUCAUUGGGCGUAAAGGGUGUGUAGGAGGUUAGGUCAGUCGGGCGUGAAAUCUCACCGCUUAACGGUGAAACUGCGUUCGAUACUGCUUGGCUAGGGUACUGGAGAGGAGACUGGAAUUUACGGUGUAGCAGUGAAAUGCGUAGAUAUCGUAAGGAAGACCAGUGGCGAAGGCGAGUCUCUGGACAGUUACCGACGCUGAGGCACGAAGGUCAGGGGAGCAAACGGG